GGGCCUGUAGCUCAGGGGUUAGAGCAGGGGACUCAUAAUCCCUUGGUCGUCGGUUCGAAACCGACCGGGCCCACCA
This 76-nucleotide transfer RNA is filed under the name Neisseria sp. RNAcentral's name for it is "tRNA-Ile". It matches the Rfam family "tRNA". From Rfam's summary of the family: Transfer RNA (tRNA) molecules are approximately 80 nucleotides in length. Their secondary structure includes four short double-helical elements and three loops (D, anti-codon, and T loops). The record is from RNAcentral. Lineage: Bacteria; Pseudomonadati; Pseudomonadota; Betaproteobacteria; Neisseriales; Neisseriaceae. RNAcentral also lists the same sequence under 3 other names.